Molecule: ribosomal RNA, 424 nt
Filed under: uncultured Bacteroidota bacterium
Lineage: Bacteria; Pseudomonadati; Bacteroidota
Description: bacterial SSU rRNA
Rfam family: Bacterial small subunit ribosomal RNA
Source: RNAcentral
UGAGGAAUAUUGGUCAAUGGGCGGAAGCCUGAACCAGCCAUGCCGCGUGCCGGAAGACGGCCCUACGGGCUGUAAACGGCUUUUGGCGGGGAGGAAUAAGGGCCGUUCUGGGCCCGAUGCCCGUACCCGCCGAAUAAGGAUCGGCUAACUCCGUGCCAGCAGCCGCGGUAAUACGGGGGAUCCGAGCGUUAUCCGGAUUUACUGGGUUUAAAGGGUGCGCAGGCGGCGGGGUCCGUCCGCGGUGAAACGCCGGGGCUCAACCCCGGCCUUGCCGUGGAAACCGCCCCGCUUGGAUACGGUCGAGGCUGGCGGAACGCGUGGUGUAGCGGUGAAAUGCUUAGAGAUCACGUGGAAGGCCGAUUGCGGAGGCAGCUGGCCAGGCCGGGAUUGACGCUGAGGCACGAAAGCGUGGGGAGCGAACAGG